This 497-nucleotide ribosomal RNA is filed under the name uncultured bacterium. RNAcentral describes it as "partial 16S ribosomal RNA". It matches the Rfam family "Bacterial small subunit ribosomal RNA", at positions 28 to 507 of the family's 1533-position model. The record is from RNAcentral.
GAUGAACGCUGGCGGCGUGCCUAAUACAUGCAAGUCGAGCGAACAGACGAGGAGCUUGCUCCUCUGACGUUAGCGGUGGACGGGUGAGUAACACGUGGAUAACCUACCUAUAAGACUGGGAUAACUUCGGGAAACCGGAGCUAAUACCGGAUAACAUGUUGAACCGCAUGGUUCAACAGUGAAAGACGGUCUUGCUGUCACUUAUAGAUGGAUCCGCGCCGCAUUAGCUAGUUGGUAAGGUAACGGCUUACCAAGGCAACGAUGCAUAGCCGACCUGAGAGGGUGAUCGGCCACACUGGAACUGAGACACGGUCCAGACUCCUACGGGAGGCAGCAGUAGGGAAUCUUCCGCAAUGGGCGAAAGCCUGACGGAGCAACGCCGCGUGAGUGAAGAAGGUCUUCGGAUCGUAAAACUCUGUUAUUAGGGAAGAACAAAUGUGUAAGUAACUAUGCACGUCUUGACGGUACCUAAUCAGAAAGCCACGGCUAACUACGUG